Molecule: ribosomal RNA, 281 nt
Filed under: Phaeoclavulina argentea
Lineage: Eukaryota; Fungi; Basidiomycota; Agaricomycetes; Gomphales; Gomphaceae
Description: partial 25S large subunit ribosomal RNA
Rfam family: Eukaryotic large subunit ribosomal RNA
Source: RNAcentral
ACUUUGGAAAGAGAGUUAAACAGUACGUGAAAUUGUUGAAAGGGAAACGCUUGAAGUCAGUCGCGUCUUCCGGGACUCAGCCUUGCUUCUGCUUGGUGUACUUCCCGGAUGACGGGUCAGCAUCAAUUUUGACCGUUGGAAAAAGGCUUGAGGGAAUGUGGCAUCUCCGGGUGUGUUAUAGCCCUUGGUCGUAUACAGCGGUUGGGAUUGAGGAACGCAGCACGCKCAWGGCCGGGGUUCGUCCACGUUCGAGCUUAGGAUGCUGGCAUAAUGGCUUUAAG